UACAGUUUGAUCAUGGCUCAGGACGAACGCUGGCGGUAUGCCUAACACAUGCAAGUCGAACGAGAUUAUUUUUUUGUUNNNAAAGAAAUGAUUGCAGUGGCGGACGGGUGAGGAACACGUAAGAACUUACCUUUUGGCGGGGGAUAACAACGGGAAACUGUUGCUAAUACCCCAUAAUGCUGAGGAGCGAAAGGGAAACUGCCAAAAGAGAGGCUUGCGUCUGAUUAGCUAGUUGGCGGAGGUAAAUGCUCCCCAAGGCGACGAUCAGUAGCUGGUCUGAGAGGAUGAUCAGCCACACUGGGACUGAGACACGGCCCAGACUCCUACGGGAGGCAGCAGUGGGGAAUUUUCCACAAUGGGCGAAAGCCUGAUGGAGCAAUACCGCGUGAAGGAUGAAGGAUCGUGGUCCGUAAACUUCUUUUCUUAACGAAGAAAAUCUGACGGUAGUUAAGGAAUAAGCACCGGCUAACUCCGUGCCAGCAGCCGCGGUAAUACGGGGGGUGCAAGCGUUGUCCGGAAUGAUUGGGCGUAAAGCAUCUGUAGGUGGUUUUUAAAGUCGACUGUUAAAGCCCAGGGCUCAACUUUGGAUAAGCGGUCGAGUACUUAAGGACUUGAGUAUGGUAGGGGUAGAGGGAAUUCCUAGUGGAGCGGUGAAAUGCACAGAGAUUAGGAAGAACACCGAGGGCGAAAGCACUCUA
This 698-nucleotide ribosomal RNA is filed under the name uncultured bacterium. Its description in RNAcentral is "bacterial SSU rRNA". It matches the Rfam family "Bacterial small subunit ribosomal RNA", at positions 1 to 728 of the family's 1533-position model. The record is from RNAcentral.